UACGUAGGGUGCGAGCGUUAAUCGGAAUUACUUGGCGUAAAGCGUGCGCAGGCGGCUUUGCAAGACAGAUGUGAAAUCCCCGGGCUCAACCUGGGAACUGCAUUUGUGACUGCAAGGCUAGAGUACGGCAGAGGGGGAUGGAAUUCCGCGUGUAGCAGUGAAAUGCGUAGAUAUGCGGAGGAACACCAAUGGCGAAGGCAAUCCCCUGGGCCUGUACUGACGCUCAUGCACGAAAGCGUGGGGAGCAAACAGG
RNAcentral lists this ribosomal RNA (253 nucleotides) under uncultured bacterium. RNAcentral's name for it is "partial 16S ribosomal RNA". It matches the Rfam family "Bacterial small subunit ribosomal RNA", at positions 524 to 776 of the family's 1533-position model. The record is from RNAcentral.